This 513-nucleotide ribosomal RNA is filed under the name uncultured bacterium. Its description in RNAcentral is "partial 16S ribosomal RNA". It matches the Rfam family "Bacterial small subunit ribosomal RNA", at positions 28 to 523 of the family's 1533-position model. The record is from RNAcentral.
GACGAACGCUGGCGGCAUGCCUAAUACAUGCAAGUCGAGCGAACAGAUGAAGUGCUUGCACUUCUGACGUUAGCGGCGAACGGGUGAGUAACACGUAAGGAAUCUACCUAUAAGCGGGGGAUAACAUUCGGAAACGGGUGCUAAUACCGCAUAAUAUCUUCUUCCGCAUGGAAGAAGUUUGAAAGACGGCCCUGCUGUCACUUAUAGAUGACCUUGCGGUGCAUUAGUUAGUUGGUGGGGUAAUGGCCUACCAAGACGAUGAUGCAUAGCCGACCUGAGAGGGUGAUCGGCCACAUUGGGACUGAGACACGGCCCAAACUCCUACGGGAGGCAGCAGUAGGGAAUCUUCCGCAAUGGGCGAAAGCCUGACGGAGCAAUGCCGCGUGAGUGAAGAAGGCCUUCGGGUCGUAAAACUCUGUUAUAAGAGAAGAACAAAUUGUAGAGUAACUGCUACAGUCUUGACGGUAUCUUAUCAGAAAGCCACGGCUAACUACGUGCCAGCCGCCGCAGUAA